Molecule: ribosomal RNA, 305 nt
Filed under: uncultured bacterium
Lineage: Bacteria
Description: bacterial SSU rRNA
Rfam family: Bacterial small subunit ribosomal RNA
Source: RNAcentral
UUUUCCUACGGGACGCAGCAGUGGGGAAUAUUGGGCAAUGGACGCAAGUCUGACCCAGCAACGCCGCGUGAAGGAAGAAGGCUUUCGGGUUGUAAACUUCUUUUAAGGGGGAAGAGCAGAAGACGGUACCCCUUGAAUAAGCCACGGCUAACUACGUGCCAGCAGCCGCGGUAAUACGUAGGUGGCAAGCGUUGUCCGGAUUUACUGGGUGUAAAGGGCGUGCAGCCGGAGAGACAAGUCAGAUGUGAAAUCCACAGGCUCAACAUGGGAACUGCAUUUGAAACUGUUUCCCUUGAGUAUCGGAG